RNAcentral lists this ribosomal RNA (478 nucleotides) under uncultured bacterium. RNAcentral describes it as "bacterial SSU rRNA". It matches the Rfam family "Bacterial small subunit ribosomal RNA", at positions 8 to 526 of the family's 1533-position model. The record is from RNAcentral.
AGAGUUUGAUCAUGGCUCAGGAUGAACGCUGGCGGUAUGCCUUACACAUGCAAGUCGUACGAGAGUUUUUAACUCAAGUGGCGGACGGGUGAGUAACACGUAAGAAUUUACCUUUAGGAGGGGGAUAACAACUGGAAACGGUUGCUAAUACCCCAUAUGCUUUCGAGUGAAAUGGAUUUUCCGCCUAAAGAGAAGCUUGCGGCUGAUUAGCUUGUUGGUAGGGUAAUGGCCUACCAAGGCGACGAUCAGUAUCUGGUUUGAGAGGACGAUCAGACACACUGGAACUGAGACACGGUCCAGACUCCUACGGGAGGCAGCAGUGGGGAAUUUUCCGCAAUGGGCGAAAGCCUGACGGAGCAAUACCGCGUGAGGGAUGACGGCCUAUGGGUUGUAAACCUCUUUUUUCAGGGAGGAAUCAAAUGACGUGUACCUGAAGAAUAAGCAUCGGCUAACUCCGUGCCAGCAGCCGCGGUAAUUC